Molecule: ribosomal RNA, 433 nt
Filed under: uncultured bacterium
Lineage: Bacteria
Description: partial 16S ribosomal RNA
Rfam family: Bacterial small subunit ribosomal RNA
Source: RNAcentral
AACGAACGCUGGCGGCAUGCCUAACACAUGCAAGUCGAACGAGACCUUCGGGUCUAGUUGCGCACGGGUGCGUAACGCGUUGGAACCUGCCCUUAGGUUCGGAAUAACUCCCCGAAAGGGGUGCUAAUACCGGAUAAUGUCUUCGGACCAAAGAUUUAUCGCCUUUGGAUGGGCCCGCGUUGGAUUAGCUAGUUGGUAGGGUAAAAGCCUACCAAGGCGACGAUCAAUAGCUGGUCUGAGAGGAUGAUCAGCCACACUGGGACUGAGACACGGCCCAGACUCCUACGGGAGGCAGCAGUGGGGAAUAUUGGACAAUGGGCGAAAGCCUGAUCAAGCAAUGACGCGUGAGUGAUGAAGGCCUUAGGGUUGUAAAGCUCUUUUACCCGGGAUGAUAAUGACAGUACCGGGAGAAUAAGCACCGGCUAACUCCGUG